Molecule: long non-coding RNA, 178 nt
Organism: Myotis brandtii (Brandt's bat)
Lineage: Eukaryota; Metazoa; Chordata; Mammalia; Chiroptera; Vespertilionidae
Exons: 4
Source: RefSeq, a predicted model, not a curated record
GCCGAGUCGCCGCGUCGCCAGACCGUCCGCUGCGCCUGAGCUGGGGGCCUUGGGGGCCCCGGACCUCUCCUCACUCUCGCUGGCCGUUUCCAGGACCACGGAUGAACUGGAGAUCAUCGAUGAGUACAUCAAGGAGAACGGCUUCGGCCUGGAGGCGGCGCCGCCGGGCCCGGGAGAG